Cairina moschata (Muscovy duck) is the source of this 3963-nucleotide long non-coding RNA. The record is from Ensembl. Lineage: Eukaryota; Metazoa; Chordata; Aves; Anseriformes; Anatidae.
AUGCUUAGACUGCAAUACAUUGAGAAUUUAUUUUUUUUCAUCAUGGAUCCUUUAUCUGGGAGAGAACGAGAAUUCUGUUACUGUAUUAAAAUGCUUAGUGAUGAAGGUUAUGAUACUCUGAAUUUUAAUGUUAAAAUUGAUACUUCCUGGAUUUCCCAGGAAUUAGAAGAUACAAGCAAACCUGAUGAACAAGCAAACAGUGCUGAACAAGAAAAUUUGAACCUCAGAAUGAAAGAGCUGGAGAAAUCGGAGCAAGAACUGAAAGGUGUUUUACAAGACUACAUGGAUUCAGAUUCCAUGCUAAGAAAUAGGAUGAAAGAGCUGGAGCUGUCACACAAAACCCUUCUUGUGAUGAUUGAUCAGCUAAAUGUGAAGGUGCACCAGGUUGAAAAUGCAAAUGUGCGUGUUAAAGGGAAAGUGCGAGUCAUUUGGGAGGAGCUGAUGAACUUGGUUGAAAACCAAGAAAAGUCAGAGAAGAAGCAAAAGGAAAAAUUACAUUGGCUUCUGGAGCAGCUGAAGACAAAAGAAGAUGAAGUAAAAAGCCAGUCAGAAUAUUUUGAGCACUACAAGCAAAAGCAGAAGCGACAAACAACAAUACAGAGAGAAAGGGAAUGUUACCUGCGGGGAGAGGUGUCCAGGCUGGAAAAGCAAGUGUUAGAUCUCAAUGCCCAUAUUGCUUGUUUGACAUCUGAGUUAGAAGAGGGAAUGGCACAGUGUCUCCAACAGAAGGUGGAAUCAGCAUCCACUGGGACUCAGGGCUAUAAACUUUCUGAAAUGGAAGUAAUUGAAUUGAAAACUUGCAUUGAAAACAUGGAGCAUGUCAUGAAAAGCCAUGUUGAGUCAUUUCAGCAAAAUCUGAAGUUCUUAAAGGAAAAAGGGGAGGACAACAGAAGAGAACAGGCAGACCUGCUGACUGAACUCCAGUGUUCCCAGGACACUGAAGACUUUCUCAGGAGAAAAUUGGAAGAAUCUUGCAAUUAUGUUUAUAAUCUGAAAUUGUCUGAAAUCAAACUACAGAAACAAGUGGAAGACCUUUUGGAUGAAAACAGGGUUUUAAAAGAUCAAAGUAGGGUGAAGUUAAAAAAGAAGGAAGAAAAGGACUCACAAUUUACGAGAUUGGAAAAUAGAGACAGUAGUGCUGACCUGCAAUGUGCCCAAGGCAAAAAGUCUCAGUUGGCACCUGAAAGAAAGCCCAAGAGAACUUCUAAGACUCGUGGACACCAUUCAGAGGAAGAGUACACAUAUGGUUGGAAUGGCGACCUAGUCCGGGAUGAUGUUCAAAAUCUGAAAUGGGGAGUAGUAUCAGAUACACUGAGAAGCAGAGCUACACAAACUCCAGUUGUACUGCUACAUGCCAAAGAGUACGAAACACCAGGACAUAGCUUUGAUGGGCUAAAGCAGAUAGAGAAGAUACGGGAAGAAAUUCUACCAGUUUUGGAACAAAAUUCUGGACACUUUGCAAACAUUUCUGAAGAACUUGGUUUAUCUGAGAUCAAACUGGUCACCCUUGGGACAAAAAAGCCAGGAGGUCUAGAGGAUAGUUUCACUUUGUUUAUACAUACCCCAAGCUAUCCUGCAGCAAGACUGCUUCCACCUUGUUCUGAGAAGUUAACUAUUGAUGAGAUAUGUAAGGAAACCAAAGACAAAGAAUGCUUUUCUCUCAUGAAGGAACAAGCUAUUAAUCUACCAGCAAAGAUGUUCCCUGUUUCUGUGGUUGAAACUUUGAUGAGGGACAAGCCCUACCUUACCUUGUUAAAACCUGAAAGCUACCAUAUAGCAGCUGUCACAGUGGUGAAGAAAAUGAGGAGUUUGGAUUUCAGUGAGGCAAAUACCACCUUUUACUCUGAUGGCCUCUAUGUUGUUGCAGAACAAGGUUUUUCUGAAAAAGCUUCUGUAGUUCUUCAUGGAAAUCCACCUUGCUUUGUGAAUGACAAUUUCACAUUCUCUCUAGAAAAAUGCUGUUUGGAAAAACAUCAGAAAAACAAACAAAUCCUACCCAAAAAUAAAUGUAAAAAUAAAAGUCUGGAUGAAGGUGUUAAUGAUAUAAAGUAUCACCAAAGAAUCUUUAUAAGAAGAGUUAAAGAAGAAGAAAUACAGACUGAGAAAGCCCAAGCACAACAAGUUACCUGUGUUUUUGAGGAAAAUUCUGAAGUUAUAAAUAAAACUAUAUUGAUUUGGCCUGGGAAGCUUGUAAUGGACACUAAAGACAAACCAGGUAGCCCAGAAGGUGUCCACAAUAUAUCUGUAGAUUUUAAAGACUUACAGAAUCAUUUCAAUGGGAGUCUUGAACUAAAGAAGAAACAAGAAACCCUCUCAGUAACCUGCAUCUCUGAUGUGACCAGGACAUGCAAUAGAGGAGACAUAAUGGAAACGGAAGAGAAAGAAGAGAAACCUCAGAAAACAACUCACCAAAUAAAGUUGUCCAGGAAUGUUGGACUGAAAGAAAAGAAAGACCAGUCCAUGAAAUUGCAUAAAUCAAAAGAGAAGAAUUUCUCAUGUCAAAAGAUGUCUGCUGAAAAUGCGCAAUAUGCAUAUCCUCAGAAAAGAUUUUGGUCACAGGAAGAGAGUUAUCCGCUAGAAAUACUGUCUCCUAUGCAAAAGAGUUUGCUUAUGUUUGUAAGCAAACAGUUCCUGCCAGAAAGCAAUUUUUAUGAGUAUUUCUGUCAUCUGUCACCACUGGAAGCGGUUAAUGAGCAUAAUGUGAAAAUAUGUACAUUGAAAAAAGCAGUGGCUGUGUGUUCUCAGAGAAUAUUUCUACUGAUGCAAGAGAAUGAAAAUUACUCAAAAAAGGUCUGUUUAUUACAAGAGGAGAAUGAGAGAUAUGUUCAGAAGAUGUGUGCACUGGAAGAGGAGAUGAAUGCAUAUUUUCAAUAUGCUUUAGAAGUAGAUGAAGCUAACAUUGCUUCUUUUCAAAAUUUACUUAAUGAGAAUGAAGUUUCUGACAUAUACAACAUAUGUAACAACAUAUCAGAAGAAAAUAGGAUGAGCCCAAGAACAAUUUUUGCCGAAAACUUCUCUAAGAAUCUCUCUUAUGUUGAAGAUAAAAAUAGGAAUUCUGACAAAGAUUCCUUGAGAGUUAAAUCAAAUCACCUUCCCAAGAGUGUUUUAUCCCUUGGUGAAAGGAAAAUGAAGUAUUUACAGCUGCUUUUAGACUUGAAAGAAGAAAGAAGUAGGUGCUUCAUAGAAAUAGCUAAAUUAUUACAAGACAAUGAGAACUAUGUAGUGAAAUAUAAUGAAUUAAUACAAGAGAGAGAGAGAAACUUGCACAGAAUAUCUCUUUUAGAAGAUGAAAAAGAAACUUUAUUGAGAAGUUUGGCAGAAGUAAAAUGUGAACAAGACAAAUACCAAGCCUUGUUUUCAGAACUUCAGAAGUGCAAAAACAGCUAUUAUCAAACUAUUUCUGAUUUACAGGAGGAAAAAUGUGUGCUAAAAAGAACUAUAGACAGAAUCAAGAAAGAAACUGAAGAACAAUUUAAUGAAUUUCAAAAAGCAAAUGCAAACCUUAUUUUAGAAAACAACAAAUUAAAAGAAUUAGUGUCUUCUUUGGGUUUCACCUAUGAAGAUCUGAGAAAAGAAAAAUGCUUGGGAACAAAGGAAAAUGUAGUAAACCUAAAAGAAGAAAACAGAAGUAAACAACGUGAUCUUAAUCCAAAGAAAGUUGAAACAUCAUGUAGUAUAACUCAGACUGAAGAAGAAGGAGUAGACCCCUCCAGCUAUUUCCCCAGCAAAGAGGACAGCACAUUUGAAAGCUACAGUAUGAUGAAAGAGCAAGUGGAAAAGGCAAAAGAGGAACUAAAAAUAAAGCAAAAGGAAUUGGAAAAAUCAAAAAAAGAGGUAACCUCCCACUCUGAUGUAAUUCUCAGGAGAAAAUUUGUCUUAUAUUUUGUUUUCUUACAUGGAUGUUCUUUCUACAAGUGUUUAAUGCUUUUACAAAAUGGGGAAGUCUCUGAUCUGCAGAACUGA